CAGAUAAGGAGCUUGCUCCUUUGACGUUAGCGGCGGACGGGUGAGUAACACGUGGGUAACCUACCUAUAAGACUGGGAUAACUUCGGGAAACCGGAGCUAAUACCGGAUAACAUUUGGAACCGCAUGGUUCUAAAGUGAAAGAUGGUUUUGCUAUCACUUAUAGAUGGACCCGCGCCGUAUUAGCUAGUUGGUAAGGUAACGGCUUACCAAGGCGACGAUACGUAGCCGACCUGAGAGGGUGAUCGGCCACACUGGAACUGAGACACGGUCCAGACUCCUACGGGAGGCAGCAGUAGGGAAUCUUCCGCAAUGGGCGAAAGCCUGACGGAGCAACGCCGCGUGAGUGAUGAAGGGUUUCGGCUCGUAAAACUCUGUUAUUAGGGAAGAACAAAUGUGUAAGUAACUGUGCACAUCUUGACGGUACCUAAUCAGAAAGCCACGGCUAACUACGUGCCAGCAGCCGCGGUAAUACGUAGGUGGCAAGCGUUAUCCGGAAUUAUUGGGCGUAAAGCGCGCGUAGGCGGUUUCUUAAGUCUGAUGUGAAAGCCCACGGCUCAACCGUGGAGGGUCAUUGGAAACUGGGAAACUUGAGUGCAGAAGAGGAAAGUGGAAUUCCAUGUGUAGCGGUGAAAUGCGCAGAGAUAUGGAGGAACACCAGUGGCGAAGGCGACUUUCUGGUCUGUAACUGACGCUGAUGUGCGAAAGCGUGGGGAUCAAACAGGAUUAGAUACCCUGGUAGUCCACGCCGUAAACGAUGAGUGCUAAGUGUUAGGGGGUUUCCGCCCCUUAGUGCUGCAGCUAACGCAUUAAGCACUCCGCCUGGGGAGUACGACCGCAAGGUUGAAACUCAAAGGAAUUGA
This 861-nucleotide ribosomal RNA is filed under the name Staphylococcus sp. SQ84C. RNAcentral describes it as "bacterial SSU rRNA". It matches the Rfam family "Bacterial small subunit ribosomal RNA", at positions 70 to 913 of the family's 1533-position model. The record is from RNAcentral. Lineage: Bacteria; Bacillati; Bacillota; Bacilli; Caryophanales; Staphylococcaceae.